GGUGGUCAUGGCGGGGUGGCUGCACCCGUUCCCAUUCCGAACACGGCCGUGAAACGCCCCAGCGCCAAUGGUACUUCGUCUUAAGACGCGGGAGAGUAGGUCGCCGCCAGGU
RNAcentral lists this ribosomal RNA (112 nucleotides) under Sinorhizobium sp. RAC02. Lineage: Bacteria; Pseudomonadati; Pseudomonadota; Alphaproteobacteria; Hyphomicrobiales; Rhizobiaceae. The record is from RNAcentral.